CUACUAAAAAUACAAAAAUUAGCCGGGCAUGGUGGCAGGCGCUUGUAGUUCCAGCUACUCAGGAGGCUGAGGCAAGGAGAAUCGCUUGAACCCGGGAGGCAGAGGUUGCAGUGAGCCGAGAUCGCGCCACUGCACUCCAGCCUGGGCGACAGAGCGAGACUCCGCCUCAAAAUAUAUAUAUGUAUAGUCCAUCUCCCCUGGUGGUUGUGAGGAUGAAUUGGGUUUGUAUUUGCAGGCUUCCUGAGCUGGCGACAUCGUCUGGUGCAAAGGCUGCGAAAUCUGCUUGCCCAGAAUGGCAGACAAGAUCUUGGAGACGAGACGGUUUUAGGUCUGCAGUCAACCAGCUCUAUUUUGUCUCACCAGCACUUCACAUCCGGCUUACUACCUCCGGGCACUAUUCUAAGUAUGUUACAAAUACGAACUCAUUUUAUCUUCACAAUAUUUUUGGUCCUGCCUGUGCAGAUCCCUUUUGGACAGUGAGGGAAACUGAGGCACAGAGCGGAGAAGCUGCUUGCUCAAGGUCAUCAUUUGAACCCAUGUCGGAGUUAUCGUUCCUCUGUGCUGUGCGCCCGUGGGAGAGGCAUUAACACUCAAAAUACGAAACUGCACAGAGUCAAGAAAACGCACUCGUGGACGGCCUGCGGACCACUAGUUUGAGACCCCAGCCUCAACAUGAGCAUCUGUGCAAAUAGACACGAACUGUCCUCCUCCCAGAAGUAGACCUGGGCAUCCUGACCCCAUGAACACAGGGACUUGCUGUCUCUCCCCAAACUGGAUUCAGGCAUCAUGGCUUUUGAACACAGGGCUGAUGAUCCUUCCCAGAAGAGAAUGCAGGCAUCUUGGCCCCAUAAAAAUAGGGGUCCUGGGCCGGGCUCAGUAGCUCACGGCCUGUAAUCCCAGAACUUUGGGAGGCCUAGGCCGGUGGAUCACCUGGGGUCAGGAGUUCAAGACCAGCCUGGCCAACAUGGCUAAACCCUGUCUCUAUUAAAAAUACAAAAAUUAGCCGGGCGUGGUGGUGCACACCUGUAGUCCCAGCUACUCAGGAGGCUGAGGGAGGAGAAUCGCUUGAACCUGGGAGGCAUAGGUUGCAGUGAGCCAAGAUCGCACCACUGCACUCAAGCAUGGGUGACAGGGCAAGCAAGACUCCAUCUCAAAAAAAAAAAAAAAGUAAAAAAAAAAAAAAUUAGCCAGGCAUGGUGGCACAUGCCUGUAGUCCCAGCUACUCGGGAGGCUGAGGCAGGAGAAUCGCUUGAACUGGGAGGAGGCUGAGGCAGGAGAAUCGCUUGAACUGGAAGGAGGCUGAGGCAGGAGAAUUGGGAGGCAUAGGUCGCAGUAAGCUGAGAUCAUGCCACUCUGCACUCCAGCCUGGGUGACAGAGUGAGACUGCGUCUCAAAAAAAAAAAAAAAAAAUAGGGGUCCAGGCCGGGUCCAGUGGUUCAUGCCUGUAAUCCCAGUACUUUGGGAGGCUGAGGUGGGAGGAUCAUUUGAGCCCAGGAGUUUAAGACCAGCCUGGGCAAAAUGGUGAAACCUCAUUUUUACUAAAAAUACAAAAAUUAGCUGGGCGUGGUGGCACAGGCCUGUAGUCCCAGCUAAUCAGGAGGCUGAGGCAGGAGGAUCACCAGAGCCUGGGAAGCGGAGGUUGCAGUGAGCCAAGAUCACACCGCUGCAUUCAAGCGUGGGUGAUAGAGUGAGACCCUGUUCUCAUAAAAGAGGCGGAGGGGUCCUUAGCUAGAGGUUUCCUUGCUUGGAUUCUCAGAGAGUCAACGGACUCCCACACUGGUAAUAGUAAUGACAAGUAACAUAUAUUAAACAUCCAUCAUGCCCCAGUACUUUUAUUGUUUAAUUUUUUUUUGUUUAUUUAUUUAUAAAACAGGGUCUUUUUAUUUUAUUUAUUUAUUUUUUUGAGACAGAGUCUCGCUCUGUCGCCCAGGCUGGAGUGCAGUGAUGGGAUCACAGCUGUCUGUGGUCUUGUCCUCCUGGGCUCCAGCCAUUCUCCUUCCUCAGCCUCCCAAGUAACUGGGUCCACAGGUGCACACCACCACGCCUGAUUAUUUUUUAAAUUUUUUGUAGAGACAGGGGUCUCACUAUGUUGCCUAGGUUGGUCUGGAACUCCUGGGCUCAAGCAAUCCUCCUGCCUCAGUUUCUCAGAAUGCUGGGAUUACAGGCAUGAGCCACUGUGUGCCUAGCCCAAUGUUUUAUUGUUAUUCACAUUCUGACUGCACAUCCUAUGAGGUAGGGACCUGUGCUGUCUCAACUCACAGAUGAGGAAACUGAGGCACAGAGCUGUGACCACUUCCCCAACAUCACCCACAGGUGGCAGAGGGGAUUCUAAGUCAGGCCAUCUGGACUCACAGCCCACAGUCUUUCAUGAGGGCUGCAUGCGGGCUUAGGAAACCAAGGCAGGCGAAUGGGUUCAGGCCAGGAGUUGGAAACAUGCCUGGGUAGGCAACACAGUGAGACCUCAUCUCUACAGAAAAUUUAAAAAUUAGCCAGGUGUGGUGGUGUGCACCUGUAGUCCCAGCUACUCGGGAAACUGAGGUGGGAGAAUUGCUUGAGCCUAGGAGGUGGAAGCUGCAGUGAGCUGUGAUCAUCAGCUGUGAUCAUGCCACUGCACUCCAGCCUGGGCAACAGAGCAAGACCCUGUCAAAAAAAAAAAAAAAAAAAGAGGCAGCCCUUGACCCACCCACAAACUUCUUUUUCUUUGCCCACAAGGGUUUUGUGUUGUUGUUGUUUUGGGGGUGGGGGUCGGUUUUUUAUUUUUGAGGCGGAGUCUUGCUCUGUUGCCCAGGCUGCAGUGCAGUAGCGCGAUCUCGGCUCACUACAACCUCCGCCUCCCGGGUUCAAUCGAUUCUUCUGCCUCAGCCUCCAGAGUAGCUGGGAUUACAGGCAUGUGCCACCACACCCAGCUAAUUUUUGUAUUUUUAGUAGAGACGAGGCUUUGCCAUGUUGGCCAGGCUGGUGUUUUGUUUUGCUUUUGAGAAAGGGUCUCGCUCUGUCGCCCAAGCUGGAGUGCAAUGGUGCGAUCACAGCCUACUGCAGCCUCGACCUCACAGGCUCAAGCGUUCCUCCCACCCCAGCCUCCCCAGUUAGGUUUCCGCAUGUUGCCCAGGCUGGUCUGGAACUCCUGGGCUCAGGUGAUCCACCCAUCUCGGCCUUCCGUGAUACUGGGAUUACAGACGUGAGCCACCACGCCCAGCUGUGGGGAGGAUUUUGACUAGUGAUAACGCUUAUGGCCAAAUAGACUCUUGGCCUCUCCCCAUCUUUUCUACCUCCAGCCACCAAGCCAGAUUCCCACUAUCCUUCACACUCAUUUUCUUCUCAAAAGAACAUUAUAGGCCGGUGUGGUGGCUCACACCUGUAAUCCCAGCAUUUUGGGAGGUCAAGGAGGAACGAUUGCUUGAGGUCUGGAAUUUGAGACCAGCCUGGGCAACAUAGUGAGACCCUGUCUCUACAAACAAACAAACAAAUAAAGAACAUUCCGGGGCUGGGCAUGGUGCCUCAUGACCAUAAUCCAGGCACUUUGGGAGGCCAAGGAGGGAGGAUCACUUGAGCCCAGGAGUUUGAGACCAACCUGGGCAACAUAAUGAGACCCCAUCUUUACUAAAAAAAGAAAAGAAAAGAAAAAAGAAGGAGAAGAAGGAGGAGGAGGAGGAGGAGGAAGAAGAAAAAAGAAGAAGGAGGAGGAGGAGGAGAAGAAGAGAACAUUCCAGGCUGGGCAUAGUGGCUCAUACCUGUAAUUCCAGCACUUUGGGAGGCUGAGGCAGGUGGAUCACCUGAGAUCAGUAGUUCGAAACCAGCCUGGUCAACAUGGUGAAACCCCGUCUCUACUAAAAAUACAAAAAAAAUUAGCCAGGCGUGGUGGUAGGUGCCUGUAAUCCCAGCUACUCAGGAGGCUGAGGCAGGAGAAUCACUUGAACGCAGGAGGUGGUGGUUGCAUUGAGCAGACAUUGGGCCACCACAUUCCAUCCUGGGUGACAGAGCGAGACUCCGUCUUAAAAAAAAAAAAAAAAAGAACAUUCCAGUACAUCUGGCCUCCGAGUAUCUACCCUGCAAUGGGCAGUCUGGACAUUGAUCAGUGAGUGAGAGGUGUGAGGUACAGGUGGGACCAUGAGCUAGCAGAGGGCUAGAGACUGCCCCUCUCUCAACUUCAUCAGUGUCAAGCAACAGGAAAUACUGACAAUAAUUAGUUAUACAAGUGAUAAUAGCUAACACUUAUUAGGCACUUACUAUAUGUCCAAUACUGCACUAAAUGACUUCCAGUGUGAUCUCAUUUAAUAAGUGUCUAAAGCAGCAUUUCUCAAACGUCUUUGAACUCGAUCUAUGGCCAGAAAAAUACCUUCCUUGUAACCUAAUAUGUAUUCACUAUACAUCAAUAAAAUUUCCACAAAAUAUUACUUUCCGUUGACUUCAUAAUUUUUUAAAAUUAUAUUUUGUUUUGUUUUUUUAAGAGGGAGUCUGGCUCAGCACCCAGGCUGGAGUGCAGUGGUGCAAUCUCGGCUCACUGCAACCACCGUCUCCCGGGUUCAAGUGAUUCUCCCAUCUCAGCCUCCUGAGUAGCU
This 4559-nucleotide long non-coding RNA is filed under the name Homo sapiens (human). Its description in RNAcentral is "HSALNT0260950". The record is from RNAcentral. Lineage: Eukaryota; Metazoa; Chordata; Mammalia; Primates; Hominidae.